This 471-nucleotide ribosomal RNA is filed under the name uncultured bacterium. RNAcentral's name for it is "partial 16S ribosomal RNA". It matches the Rfam family "Bacterial small subunit ribosomal RNA", at positions 29 to 507 of the family's 1533-position model. The record is from RNAcentral.
ACGAACGCUGGCGGCGUGCUUAACACAUGCAAGUCGAACGCUGAAGCUUGGUGCUUGCACUGGGUGGAUGAGUGGCGAACGGGUGAGUAAUACGUGAGUAACCUGCCCUUGACUCUGGGAUAAGCCUGGGAAACUGGGUCUAAUACUGGAUAUGACAUGCCACUGCAUGGUGGUGUGUGGAAAGGGUUUUACUGGUUUUGGAUGGGCUCACGGCCUAUCAGCUUGUUGGUGGGGUAAUGGCCUACCAAGGCGACGACGGGUAGCCGGCCUGAGAGGGUGACCGGCCACACUGGGACUGAGACACGGCCCAGACUCCUACGGGAGGCAGCAGUGGGGAAUAUUGCACAAUGGGCGGAAGCCUGAUGCAGCGACGCCGCGUGAGGGAUGACGGCCUUCGGGUUGUAAACCUCUUUCAGCACGGAUGAAGCGAGAGUGACGGUACGUGCAGAAGAAGCGCCGGCUAACUACGUG